UUCGUUCCUGGAUGGUGGAAUAAUUUCGAAAACAGUUUCAAUUACUUUACCACAUAAUAAUUCAAAUACCUUGACCAACAGCUUUUCAACCCACAAUGUAAAUAAUAUAUGGACAUUUAUAUCUGGAAACAAAGAAAAGAUCAGCAAUAAAAAGACUGAGGGAUUCUCGAUGCUGAAUUCGGCAGUACCACCGUUGAGGACAAUUAACCACUGGAAAGGAUCGAUACGGAUUCCAUACCUAUGAUGGUGUUCAGUGUUGAGAAUAACUUGUUAGUUGUUAUUUUGACAAGCAAAGUUGCAACAACAAAAAAAUGAUAAAAAGUAAUCAUAAUUUUUAAAAAUUAAUAACAUGCUCAUUUACUUGAGUAAAUUUUCCAAUGAGAGUCUGAGUCCCCCCAUCAGCAGCAGCAGGAAACCCCAGUUGACAAGUCCUGUAAAGUCACGAAACUCAGAAGACCAUGAGAAUAAUGAAUCUCUAGGCCUAUGACACCUACAUACAACAUAAAAAAUUUAGCACCAAUAGAUAAAAUAAAGGUGAGUAUUCUAAUUCGCAACAAAAAAAAUUUAUUAAAUUUCUUUUACGGUUUAUCUGGUUGUGAUUUCCUGACUUUUUCAGCUUCUUUUGUGAUUUCUUCUGCCCUAGCUACAGAUUUGGUUCUUCUCAAUCUUAAAUUUUGCUUUCGGCUAUCCUCGAAAAGGUAUGUGACAGUCUUUUUGCCAUCUACGUCAUCUGUUGAAACACUUGUUAUUGUUGUUGUUGAUGUCGGUUCUGAGGGCAACAUUCUGACUUCUCCCUCACUUGGAGGUAGCAUUUUGUUUUUGGACCUGUUUGCCAACAGAACACAUAUUUGGGCAUAAAUUCAAGUUGAACUGUUGCUAAAUAUUACAAGGUUAAAAAUUUAAAACAUGACACUCACUUGUGUGUCUAGAAGAAGAGAAUAAAGGUGACGUAAUAACGCUGAUAAUGUGAAAAUCGUUCGCCAGCGAAGUGGACGUGUUAUUGGAGAAUUUCGACGAACAGCAAUAAAUGCCUUUUAAUUUUGAGACGACGUUAUAGAAUGACUAAUCUUUUUUGAGAUCAAUAAGUUGUUGACUCGUCUCCUCGCCGAUCCAUGGAACUAGAAAGAUAAUAUCGGUAUGUAAAUAGUAAACAACGGGUCGUCUUCAGGAUAACUUCUCCAGGGUCGACAACUUUAUUUCGAUAACAUUUGCUGAUUCUUCAAAACUUGGGAUUGGGAUAGGAAGAACUGUGUUAAUAUAGGUUAAAUGUUUCAGAAUGUGAAAGAAUGAAUGUGUUAGAAUUUUAAAAUGUUUUGAACGUACAAGUUUUGACAAACAUUGAGUUUCUGUGCUUUAAAAAGGAAGUUAAAAAUAACGGUUCAAGUAGUAUAACUCGUCAUCUUUCUUUUGAUAAGAUAUUAUGUUAUCCUACCCUGUGUUUUCUUGUUGUUGAAACAAAAAUGUGUUUUUGGUUUGCGGUCGUCGAUGGCUUUGGUUUAUAGCAAUCUUCGUCUAAAUAGUGAUAAUGACUCUGCACAAUAUGACUGUAUUUUGAACAACAAAGACAAUUAAAUCACAUAAAUACAAGA
Daphnia carinata is the source of this 1589-nucleotide long non-coding RNA. RefSeq lists it as uncharacterized. The transcript has 2 exons. The record is from RefSeq and is a predicted model, not a curated record. NCBI's taxonomy places the organism in Eukaryota, Metazoa, Arthropoda, Branchiopoda, Diplostraca, Daphniidae.